UACAGAGGGUGCGAGCGUUAAUCGGAAUUACUGGGCGUAAAGCGCGUGUAGGCGGCUAAGUAAGUCGGGCGUGAAAUCCCACGGCUCAACCGUGGAAGUGCACUCGAAACUGCAUAGCUAGAGUCCUGGAGAGGAAGGUGGAAUGCUUGGUGUAGAGGUGAAAUUCGUAGAUAUCAAGCGGAACACCGGUGGCGAAGGCGGCCUUCUGGACAGUGACUGACGCUG
Molecule: ribosomal RNA, 225 nt
Filed under: uncultured bacterium
Lineage: Bacteria
Description: partial 16S ribosomal RNA
Rfam family: Bacterial small subunit ribosomal RNA
Source: RNAcentral